Molecule: ribosomal RNA, 465 nt
Filed under: Vreelandella stevensii
Lineage: Bacteria; Pseudomonadati; Pseudomonadota; Gammaproteobacteria; Oceanospirillales; Halomonadaceae
Description: partial 16S ribosomal RNA
Rfam family: Bacterial small subunit ribosomal RNA
Source: RNAcentral
CCUACGGGGGGCAGCAGUGGGGAAUAUUGGACAAUGGGGGCAACCCUGAUCCAGCCAUGCCGCGUGUGUGAAGAAGGCCCUCGGGUUGUAAAGCACUUUCAGUGAGGAAGAACGCCUGGUGGUUAAUACCCAUCAGGAAAGACAUCACUCACAGAAGAAGCACCGGCUAACUCCGUGCCAGCAGCCGCGGUAAUACGGAGGGUGCGAGCGUUAAUCGGAAUUACUGAGCGUAAAGCGCGCGUAGGUGGCUUGAUAAGCCGGUUGUGAAAGCCCCGGGCUCAACCUGGGAACGGCAUCCGGAACUGUCAAGCUAGAGUGCAGGAGAGGAAGGUAGAAUUCCCGGUGUAGCGGUGAAAUGCGUAGAGAUCGGGAGGAAUACCAGUGGCGAAGGCGGCCUUCUGGACUGACACUGACACUGAGGUGCGAAAGCGUGGGUAGCAAACAGGAUUAGAUACCCGAGUAGUC